GUCCUUUUGAAUUUAAUUUAAGGUCUGACCUGCCCAGUGAUGAAUUUAACGGCCGCGGUAUACUGACCGUGCAAAGGUAGCAUAAUCAUUAGUCUUUUAAUAGAGGGCUGGAAUGAACGGUUUCACGAGGAACUGACUGUCUCAUUUUAUUUGUUUUAAAACUUAAUUUUUUAGUUAAAAAGCUAAAAUUUCAUUGGAAGACGAGAAGACCCUAUAGAUCUUUAUAUGAAGUUUUGUAUUUAUUUAUAUAUUAACAUAAUUACAAUAAAUUUAUAUUUUGUUGGGGUGACAAAAAUAUAUAAUUAACUUUUUCAUUUAUUUACCAUUGAUAUAUGAAUAUUAGAUCCAUUAUUAUUGAUUGUUAGAAUAAGUUACCUUAGGGAUAACAGCGUAAUCCUCCUCCAGAGUUCAUAUUUACAGGAGGGCUUGCGACCUCGAUGUUGGAUUAAGAUAAUAAUUAGGUGUAGCCGCUUAAUUUAUAGGUCUGUUCGACCUUUAAAUUCUU
Molecule: ribosomal RNA, 505 nt
Filed under: Sympetrum vulgatum
Lineage: Eukaryota; Metazoa; Arthropoda; Insecta; Odonata; Libellulidae
Description: partial 16S rRNA
Rfam family: Bacterial large subunit ribosomal RNA
Source: RNAcentral